GGAGAAGGUAGCAGCCUGCACACCACUGGCUUGGAAGGAAAGGAGCAAAAGAAGUUUCUACAUGGAGCCUAGCAUUAGCAUCAUUCAUAUCAGAACAUGUCUUUGUGGCCACCAACUGUAGGCAGUGAUCCAUGAAGGUUGUGCUGGGUUUGUGACAAUCUCCUUCUGCUCUUCUGAUUCCAGUGGCUUCAAAUGUACAGAUUUUUCAUUGUGCCUUGAGUUUUCCCAUCCUGAGAAAUCUAAUACCUGGCUGAUCAGGAAGAAGCCUAGAAACUUAUGAAAAAAGAAACAUGGUCUUUAGAAAUAAAGAAAGACUUCUGAUUAAUAGCAAGAAAGAAAAGUAGAAGCUCAUAUCUACAAAUGCCAAGAAUCUUACUACUUUUGGAAGCAGAUUACUUCUCAGAGCCUCCAAUAAGAAACUGGCUUGGCUGUCAACUUCAUCUAGACUUAGUAAGGACUACAUUCAAAUUUUAAUCUACAGAGCUGUGGAUUGAUCAACUUGUAUUGUUGUGAGCCCCUAAAUGUGUGAUUUGAUAUGUUGCCAAUAGAAAACAAAUGCACCACAUCCACAUUAUCUGUGAAAUGAUUCACACAUUAAUUCAAGAUUUUAAAAAUAUUUCCUGAAUUUAUUUAUAAUAGCUCUGCUAGGCAAUGCUGAUUGUUUGUAAUGUCCUCAGUUAAAUUACAAGUUCCCUGAAGCUAGAGUCCCAGCUUGAUUUAUUAUCAUGAUUUGUACCAUCCAUCAGGUAGCUCUUUUCUGAAAUCUGACUCUGAGUUCUCCAAUGUUACUGAAAGUCAGUUGAUU
This is a long non-coding RNA of Heterocephalus glaber (naked mole-rat), 805 nucleotides long. NCBI's taxonomy places the organism in Eukaryota, Metazoa, Chordata, Mammalia, Rodentia, Bathyergidae. The record is from Ensembl.